UGGGGUGUCGACAAGUUGGUAAGUUAGCAGAUUUUGAUUCUGCCAUUCGUUGGUUCGAGUCCAACCACCCCAUCCA
This 76-nucleotide transfer RNA is filed under the name compost metagenome. RNAcentral's name for it is "tRNA-Gln". It matches the Rfam family "tRNA". From Rfam's summary of the family: Transfer RNA (tRNA) molecules are approximately 80 nucleotides in length. Their secondary structure includes four short double-helical elements and three loops (D, anti-codon, and T loops). The record is from RNAcentral.